GUAUUACUGAUCCUGCGUAACAUUUUUUUCCUCCAGUAUAUUAUACCCACUAGUUUUGAUUUCUUAUCCAAUUUUUUUUUUCUUUUCCUUCAAAACUAGUGAUAUGAUCGAAUAUGUUGUUGCAGAUUCCGAUUCAGACACAACCAAGAAAUCAAAACACUGCAAUGGCGUAUAGGGUCAAAGGAGAAUCAUUUUCAAGCUCUUCGAAUUCAACUCCAAAAUAAAUGGAAAUAUGAUGUUUUGUUUUUUGUUUUUUGUUUUUGUUUUGCAGGAAAAGAUACUCGCUUGAAUUUUACAGGUCACUUGUGUUCCGCUUUUAGUCAAAGUGGCAUACGUGCUUUUAAGGAUGAUAAAGGAAUAGAAAGAGAAGUCAUAUCGCAACAAUUAUUUCAAGCAAUUGAAGACUCUCUCAUUGCUAUCCGUCCGAUGUAAGGCAUUCAAGAAAAAUUUUGCAUUAGCUUUAGCUAAACAUGAAGAGAGAUUUAAAGGAAGCAAAGACAAACUGCAGAAAUGGAAAAAUGCUUUGAUGGAAAUUAGCAAUUUGUAAGGUUGGGACACGAGGGGUCGGUAAGUUUUCUUUCAUAUCGUGGUUUAAUCAUUUUUUAUUAAGUUAAUAUGGUUUAAACUCAAAAAAGAUAAUCCAUGACUCAUAAAUCAUAUGUGUGUGUGAGAGAGUGAGAGAAACCUUGUAUAAUCCAAACUAUUCACGAAAAUUAUGAAUGUAUUUGGAUAUUUCGAUUUAAAUGGAUAUGCAUCAAUAGAUCAAAAAGUCUAGGCUUAUUCCUUGUUUUUCGCCGUGAUUAUAUUAUUUUCUGAAGUGUCCCUCGGCUUGUUUCCUAACUCACAGUCAAAAAGAAAAAAAGAAAAAAAAAAGAUUGCUUAACGAUAAAUUUCUCUAUUAUAUCACGUUGUUCUGUUUAACUAUUUCUUGCAAAAUAGUUAAAUAGAAACAGAACAACGUGAUACAAUAGAAGUUGUCCAAGACGGCUGUGAAAAGCUUUUUUCCCUGCACUAUAGCUCUUUAUAACUCAUUUUGUGCUCAUUUAUUCUUUAUAUUUUUAGGCCUGAAACACAAGUUAUCCAAGACGUUGUUUAAGCAAUAUGGAGCAAACUAUGUUCUAAAUUGCCAUCUUAUGAUGAUUAUAAUUUAGUUGGAAUAAGUCUCAAGGAUAGUUGAAAUAAAUUCACUCUUGAAGAUAGGGUUGGGCGAUGUUCAUUUUGUAGGAAUAUGGGGAAUGAGCGGUAUUGGUAAAACAACUCUUGCUAGAGUUGUUUAUGAAAGCAUCUCUCACCAAUUUGAAAUAUGUUGUUUUCGUUCUUAUGUUAGAGAAACUUCUAAAAGAAAAGGAAAAGUUUAUUUACAAAGAGAGCUUCUUUCACAUGUAAGUAAUAUGAAAAUUAAGAAUGAGUUUGAAGGAAGAAGGAAAUAAGAAAAUACUUUUGGAAUAAAAAGGUUCUACUUGUUCUUGAUGAUAUAAAUCACAUGAGUCAAUUGGAUAAUUUGGCCGUUAAUGCAGAGUGGUUUAGCGAGGGUAAUAGAGUAAUUAUAACAACUAGAGAUAAGCACUUGUUGACUUCACAUGGAGUUCAUGGAAUAUAUGAGAUGGAACCCAUGAAAGAAGAUGAAUCUCUCCAGAUCUGUUCAAAGAAAGCAUUUAAAAAAGAUCAUCCUAAGGAGGGAUAUGUGGUGUUGUCUAAAUCUGUGGUUGAAUAUGCCGGCGGUCUUCCUUUGGCGCUUCAGGUUUUAGGUUUUUUCUUCGUGGAAGAAGUGUACUUGAGUGGGAAGAUGCUUAAGACAGAUUGAGACAAAUUUCAGAUAAGGAUGUUUUUCAGAUUCUUAAAAUAAGCUAUGAUGGAUUAAAUGAUGAAGAGAAGGCAAUAUUCUUGGAUAUUGCAUGCUUUUUCAAGGGAUGGGAAAAAGAUGAAGUAUUCCAAAUUUUGAAAAUAUUGGUCUUCAUUGAAAUAAGUAUCCUCAUUGAAAAAACUUUGCUAGUUGAAUGCCAUACUGAUUUUGGAAGAUGCCGUUUAGAGAUGCAUGAUUUAUUUCAAGAAAUGGGCAGGAAUAUAAUUUAUCAAGAAUCUCCUAGCAUUGCUUACAGACGCAGUUGACCGUGGAAGAUCGAGGACAUCGAUGAAGUAUUGGAAAAUACUAUUGGAACUGAAGCAAUACAAAGCAUUGUGUUAGAUUCCUCACGACGGGAUGAUCCUGAAGUAUAUUGGAACCUCAUGCUUUUCGAAGUUGUUUAAUCUCAGAUUACUCAUCAUUCGAAGAAGAUUGGAACUUCCCAAUGUUCUCAAAUGCCCUUCUAGUGCAUUAGGAGUUGUUCAAUGGCUAUUUUGCCCUCUAGAAGCUCUUUAGUCAUUGUUUAUCACAUGCAUGCACUGCCAUGUUAUAUAUGUUAGUCCAGAUGAAUUAGGCCAGGCAAGAAGUCCAAAUGACUGCCCAUAUUUUUACAUUUAUAAUUUUUAAGGAU
Molecule: long non-coding RNA, 2474 nt
Organism: Prosopis cineraria
Lineage: Eukaryota; Viridiplantae; Streptophyta; Magnoliopsida; Fabales; Fabaceae
Exons: 3
Source: RefSeq, a predicted model, not a curated record